GAAGUCUUCUUUUUUUAUCCCAUAUCGAGUUUUUAGUUGAUAGUCAUUAUCCCACAUCGAACGCUUACCCGAGAUACUUAUUUUUUCUCACAUAUAGUCUUUAUCCCACAUCGAACUCUUACCCGAAAUAUAUCUCUUUUCUCACCUAUAAAAGGUUAUAAGUUUCCUUUUUUUCCAUCUACCAAGUAAAAUAGUCAUUAUUUAAGGCUGUUUUUGGCUUUGCUAUAAUUUGGUGAAGUGGUCCAUCGUAUAUGGCGACGUGUAGGGCUGCACACAUUGUUCAGAGACGUUCAGUACCAAAUGUUGGAAAAGUGGAAGUAAAGACAGGGGAUGAUGAGGCUGGUGAUGACAUUGAUGAGAAGCCUCCUAAACAACGAGAACCGACGAGAUCAAACUUCUCGAGACGAAGCGCACAUCGUGGAAGGAUGGUAGAGAGCACUAUUGUGGGGGGUGGAAAGCAAACUACCGAGCGGAUAUUCUGAAAAUAGGUGACAAGCACAUCUUAUUAAUUUUAAAUUAUUUGAAUUUUGGUGGCAUAAAAUCGGUGUUUAAAAAUCUUUGGGGUUAGGUAAGAUGCAAAAAAAAGAAUAAAAGAUAAUGAAACGAAUUUUGGAAAAUAGCAUUUAAUAUUAUUUGCCAAGUUGAAUUUGGUGGCAAACUCACAUAAGAAUUUGGGGAAAUAGCAUUUAAUAUAAUUUGCCACCUUUUCAACGGUACGGUGCAGAGCUCAUGAAAACAAGGUUCAUUCCACCAUCCCCAAAUCCUUAUUUCGUGACCAAAAAAAAGAAGAGGCAGAGCUUAUGAAUUAGUAAGCACACACGACCCAUUUGUAUAGUAUUUUGAUAGAACCUACCAUUUAUUGACCAACAUGUUGCUACUACAAUGAUAGUAUAUACCUGUGGAUGCGAUCAAAAGCUACAACCUGAAACUCCCUGAGAAUGUGACGCUCAUCGACCCAAAAGGAAGGCCAAACGCAAGAUGUGGACGGACCAGAGGAUGUUCUACAUCGGAGGCUGGAAAAGCCUUUGUGAAGUGAACAAUGUGGAAGACAAAGACUCGUGCAUCUGCGAGUUCUUGUAUAAUGCCGACGAUCUAUGCAUCAGCGUAAGCUUCUUUCCCCCAAAAUAGCAGCAAUGCUAGAAUGGAGUGGAUUAGAUUGGUAUUGAGGAGUUCACAUUUGUAUAGUUUCAGAGGUAUUGUUAAGCAUCUGAGUUUUCUGAGUUGUUCUUUGUAUAUGAUUUUAGGGAGUAUGAUUUGUUGUUUCAAUCAAUAGUUAUUCCAAUCAAUAAAAUUGUGGUGUAUAUAGAAAAUUGUUGUUCUUAGUAUUAAUAAGAGAUCAUUGCACAUUAAA
Molecule: long non-coding RNA, 1351 nt
Organism: Salvia splendens (bonfire salvia)
Lineage: Eukaryota; Viridiplantae; Streptophyta; Magnoliopsida; Lamiales; Lamiaceae
Exons: 2
Source: RefSeq, a predicted model, not a curated record